GCGCCGGUGCUUCAGUGGUAGAAUACUCGCCUGCCACGCGGGUGACCCGGGUUCAAUUCCCGGCCGACGCA
RNAcentral lists this transfer RNA (71 nucleotides) under Rhipicephalus microplus (southern cattle tick). RNAcentral describes it as "tRNA-Gly". It matches the Rfam family "tRNA". From Rfam's summary of the family: Transfer RNA (tRNA) molecules are approximately 80 nucleotides in length. Lineage: Eukaryota; Metazoa; Arthropoda; Arachnida; Ixodida; Ixodidae. The record is from Rfam by way of RNAcentral.